Molecule: ribosomal RNA, 1442 nt
Filed under: uncultured organism
Description: SSU rRNA
Rfam family: Bacterial small subunit ribosomal RNA
Source: RNAcentral
CUAGCUACAGGCUUAACACAUGCAAGUCGAGGGGCAGCAUGGUCUUAGCUUGCUAAGGCCGAUGGCGACCGGCGCACGGGUGAGUAACACGUAUCCAACCUGCCGUCUACUCUUGGACAGCCUUCUGAAAGGAAGAUUAAUACAAGAUGGCAUCAUGAGUCCGCAUGUUCACAUGAUUAAAGGUAUUCCGGUAGACGAUGGGGAUGCGUUCCAUUAGAUAGUAGGCGGGGUAACGGCCCACCUAGUCUUCGAUGGAUAGGGGUUCUGAGAGGAAGGUCCCCCACAUUGGAACUGAGACACGGUCCAAACUCCUACGGGAGGCAGCAGUGAGGAAUAUUGGUCAAUGGGCGAGAGCCUGAACCAGCCAAGUAGCGUGAAGGAUGACUGCCCUAUGGGUUGCAAACUUCUUUUAUAAAGGAAUAAAGUCGGGUAUGGAUACCCGUUUGCAUGUACUUUAUGAAUAAGGAUCGGCUAACUCCGUGCCAGCAGCCGCGGUAAUACGGAGGAUCCGAGCGUUAUCCGGAUUUAUUGGGUUUAAAGGGAGCGUAGAUGGAUGUUUAAGUCAGUUGUGAAAGUUUGCGGCUCAACCGUAAAAUUGCAGUUGAUACUGGAUAUCCUGAGUGCAGUUGAGGCAGGCGGAAUUCGUGGUGUAGCGGUGAAAUGCUUAGAUAUCACGAAGAACUCCGAUUGCGAAGGCAGCCUGCUAAGCUGCAACUGACAUUGAGGCUCGAAAGUGUGGGUAUCAAACAGGAUUAGAUACCCUGGUAGUCCACACGGUAAACGAUGAAUACUCGCUGUUUGCGAUAUACAGCAAGCGGCCAAGCGAAAGCGUUAAGUAUUCCACCUGGGGAGUACGCCGGCAACGGUGAAACUCAAAGGAAUUGACGGGGGCCCGCACAAGCGGAGGAACAUGUGGUUUAAUUCGAUGAUACGCGAGGAACCUUACCCGGGCUUAAAUUGCAGAUGAAUUACGGUGAAAGCCGUAAGCCGCAAGGCAUCUGUGAAGGUGCUGCAUGGUUGUCGUCAGCUCGUGCCGUGAGGUGUCGGCUUAAGUGCCAUAACGAGCGCAACCCUUGUUGUCAGUUACUAACAGGUUCCGCUGAGGACUCUGACAAGACUGCCAUCGUAAGAUGUGAGGAAGGUGGGGAUGACGUCAAAUCAGCACGGCCCUUACGUCCGGGGCUACACACGUGUUACAAUGGGGGGUACAGAGGGCCGCUACCACGCGAGUGGAUGCCAAUCCCCAAAACCUCUCUCAGUUCGGACUGGAGUCUGCAACCCGACUCCACGAAGCUGGAUUCGCUAGUAAUCGCGCAUCAGCCACGGCGCGGUGAAUACGUUCCCGGGCCUUGUACACACCGCCCGUCAAGCCAUGGGAGCCGGGGGUACCUGAAGUGCGUAACCGCGAGGAGCGCCCUAGGGUAAAACUGGUGACUGGGGCU